Cebus imitator (Panamanian white-faced capuchin) is the source of this 1424-nucleotide RNA transcript. It is a transcript of the gene named actin, cytoplasmic 1-like, with no coding region annotated. The record is from RefSeq and is a predicted model, not a curated record. The transcript has a single exon. Lineage: Eukaryota; Metazoa; Chordata; Mammalia; Primates; Cebidae.
ACCAUGGAUGAGGAUAUGGCCGCACUCAUUGUGGACAACAGCUCCAGCAUGUGCAAGGCCGGAUUCAUGGCUGACGAUGCCCCCAGGCCAUCUUCCCCUCCAUCAUGGGGCACCCCAGGCACCAGGGCAUGAUUUGGGCCUGAGUCAGAGGGACUCCUAUGUGGGUGACAAGGCCCAGAGCAAGAUAGGGAUCCUGACCCCUGAAAUACCCCACUGAGCACGGCAUCAUCACCAACUGGGAUGACAUGGAGAAGAUCUGGUACCACACCUUCUACCACGAGCUGCAUGUGGCUCCCGAGGAGCACCCUGUGCUGCUGACCAAGGCCCUCCCGAACCCCAAGGCCAACUUAGAGAAGAUGACCCAGAUCAUGUUUGAGACCUUCAACACACUAGCCAUGUACAUGGUCAUCCUGGCUGUGCUAUCCCUGUGCACCUCUGGCUGUACCACUGGCAUCAUGAUGGACUCCAGUGAUGGGGUCACCCACACUGUGUCCAUCUACGAGGGGUAUGCCCUCCCCCACGCCAUCCUGCAUCUGGACUUCUGGCUGGGACCUGACUGAUUACCUCAUGAAGAUCCUCACCUAGCAUGCCUGCAGCUUCACCACCAUGGCUGAGUGGGAAAUCCCGUGUGACAUCAAGGAGAAGCUUUGCUACAUCACCCUGGACUUCGAGCAGGAAAUGGCCACAGCGGCCUCCAGCUCCUCCCUAGAGAAGAGCUAUGAUCUGCUGGAUGGCCAGGUCAUCACCACUGGCAAUGAGCAGUUCUGCUGCCCCAAGGCAUGCUUCCAGCCUUCCUUCCUGGGCAUGGAAUCCUGUGGCAUCCAUGAAACUACAUUCAACUCUAUCAUGAACUGUGACAUGGACAUCCGCAAAGACCUGUUUAUCAACACAGUACUGUCUGGUCGUACCACCAUUUACCCUGGCAUCGCUGACAGAGUACAGAAGGAGAUCACCACCCUGGCAUGCAGCACGAUGAAGAUCAAGAUCAUUGCUCCUCCCAAGAGCAAGUACACCAUGUGGAUCGGCAGCUCCAUCCUGACAUCACUGUCCAUCUUCCAGCAGAUGUGGAUAAGGAAGCAGGAGUGCAACUAGUCUGGCCCCUCCAUCGUCCACUGCAAAUGCUUCUAGGUGGGCUAUGACUUAGCUGUGUUACACCCUUUCUUGACGAAACCUAACUUGUGCAGAAUACAAGAUGAGAUUGGCAUGGCUUUAUUUGUUUUUUGCUUUGUUUUGUUUUGUUUUGCUUUUUUGGCUUGACUCAGGAUUUUAAAAACUGAAAUGGUGAAGAUGACAGUAGUCCGUUGGAGGGAGCAUCCCCCAAGGUUCUACAAUGUGGCCUAGGACUUUGAUUGGACAUUAUUCUUUUUUUAAUAGUCAUUCCAAAUAUCGUGAGAUACGUUAUUACAGGAAGUCCCUUGCCCUCC